Molecule: long non-coding RNA, 1783 nt
Organism: Chrysemys picta bellii (western painted turtle)
Lineage: Eukaryota; Metazoa; Chordata; Testudines; Emydidae
Source: RefSeq, a predicted model, not a curated record
AUUCACUUCAUACUUAAAAUUCUCUCUACUCUAGAAUUUUUUCAGCAGAGCCAGCCAUUUAAUCUGCCUUCCUUCUAGUACUUACCAAUAAGUUAAACAUUUUUAGAAAUGUAUUUGAAGAGCAAAUACUGGAGUAUGUCCAACUGCAAUUGCAGGAUGGUUAUUGACUUCAGAAUUAAGACAAAACAUUCAGGUUGUGACAUUUGAUAGGCAACAUACUGCCUCAUUGAAGCAAGUGAAAUAGGACAUAAAUGUAACAUUUGCAGCUUGCUGGUUUUGCAUUAGCUAAGGUACACUUUUCUAUACCACUUUGAUAUAUAUAAAAUCAUAGGAAUGCUAUGCAAAGAUGUAUAUAAUUUUUUCCGAAUAAUUCAAUCUCCAACACAGUGCAAAGAAUACAUUCUGCAUUUGAGUCAAAUUAUGGUCAAUGGGGCUAAUUAAAGGUCAACAGAAGGUUCACUGAAGAGAUCCCAGAGUGCACCAUUCUGUGACAGCUCAGAUAUGUUGGAUUGAACUGAGACGUCUGGUAUUUGGGAUGAGAAAGAUGCAGGAAGGCAACAAACUUGAGAAUUCCUUGAGAAAUACUGCAAGUGCUACGGCAUGGAGAGUACAUGCAGCGAGAGCCCCAGAAUGCAGCAUGGGAAGCCACAGCACUUGCACAGUGUGUUCCUAGACACAGUCCUGCCAUGAAUGCAGAGGACUGGCCUAGAUGACUUCUCCAGGUCCCUUCCAGUCCUAUGAUUCUAUUCUACACUGCACCAGCCAGCUAUCCAUCUAGGUAUUUACAUUGCGGUCAUCAUGGUAGAAUCUGAGCACAUGAAAUAAAUUACCAUACAGUACAGCUCCCAAAGCACCCAGUCCCACUCAUUUGUACAACUGCAAAAACCUUAUGUGAUAUCAAUAAACAUUUUCAAAUCUCUGUAACUUAGAAAGGGUCCAGAUUGUUGUUUUCAGAUUUUGAACCUUUGACACAUUUACUGUAAUGUCCAUAGGGCCAGGAAGGGGUUAAUAGUGUGCUAAGAUAUUUUUGUAUACUUGACUAAGGCCAGAUCAUGGCCUCCACAUAAAGACCUGAGGAAGGGCCAAAGACUAGUGGAAAACCCUUUCCACUUGUGGAUUUUCUGACAAAUCAGGCCCAAGGUGAGACCACGGAGGGUAAAAAGCUGAAUAUUGCCACUGGGUGUGCAAGAAUUAUUCAAAGUUGAGCUGCAGAACUAGGCACUCGUAGUACAGCCCAGUAGAUCAGCUGUUAGUUGGAUUUUGAAACUAUUGACCUAUGUGGGGAAUAAAUAACUGCAGACAUUGUCCCAACAACCAGGGACAGGCACUGGGGAACUUAAAUGCCAGCCCAGUCCUAGUCAGCCACCCUCACUGUUACUGAGUGGUACCAUUGAUUUCAGUGCGACUGCUUGAGGAAUUGGGUACUACUCCCAGUGACUAGCAUAGCAAAAUCCAGCUCACAGUAUACAGCAUUAAUUUAUGCAGCGCAGAUUCACAUUACCUUCUAGAGAUGUUCUCCAGCUCACAUCUUCUCUACUCCCAAACUUCUCUGAGCCUCUCGGUGCAUGGAGUUCUCACAUGACCUCGGCUUCCACGAAGUCAGAAGGAGGGGGAAAUUAUACUACUUAGGCACAAAUCCCCUCUGUUCGAUAAGUGCUGUGGCCAUUUGGAAAGGUUUUCCCACUCAUUUUAGCCCCCCGAUGCCUAAAAGUGGAAGGAAUUAUUUGGCCUCAAACGUGUAGUGAUAGCCACCCAGGCAGGAAAAUGAAAAAAAUGAUUUUGC